RNAcentral lists this ribosomal RNA (253 nucleotides) under uncultured bacterium. RNAcentral's name for it is "partial 16S ribosomal RNA". It matches the Rfam family "Bacterial small subunit ribosomal RNA", at positions 524 to 776 of the family's 1533-position model. The record is from RNAcentral.
UACGAGGGGGGCGAGCGUUGUUCGGAAUUAUUGGGCGUAAAGGGUGCGUAGGCGGUUUGGUAAGUCUUAUGUGAAAUCUAUGGGCUCAACUCAUAGUCUGCAUGAGAAACUGCCGGGCUUGAGUGUGGGAGAGGUGAGUGGAAUUUCCGGUGUAGCGGUGAAAUGCGUAGAUAUCGGAAGGAACACCUGUGGCGAAGGCAGCUCGCUGGGACGGUACUGACGCUGAGACGCGAAAGCGUGGGGAGCAAACAGG